Molecule: ribosomal RNA, 253 nt
Filed under: uncultured bacterium
Lineage: Bacteria
Description: partial 16S ribosomal RNA
Rfam family: Bacterial small subunit ribosomal RNA
Source: RNAcentral
UACAGAGGGUGCAAGCGUUGUUCGGAAUUAUUGGGCGUAAAGGGUGCGUAGGCGGUUUUGUAAGUCAGUGGUGAAAUACUCCAGCUUAACUGGAGGGGUGCCAAUGAUACUGCAGAACUUGAGUACAGAUGAGGUAGGCGGAAUUGACGGUGUAGCGGUGAAAUGCAUAGAUAUCGUCAAGAACACCGAUAGCGAAGGCAGCUUACUGGGCUGUAACUGACGCUGAGGCACGAAAGUGUGGGGAUCAAACAGG